Molecule: non-coding RNA, 45 nt
Filed under: Schistosoma curassoni
Lineage: Eukaryota; Metazoa; Platyhelminthes; Trematoda; Strigeidida; Schistosomatidae
Source: RNAcentral
AUCCAGCUGAUGAGUCCCCAACAGGAUGAAACGUGCGCCCUGGAU